This 199-nucleotide ribosomal RNA is filed under the name uncultured bacterium. RNAcentral describes it as "partial 16S ribosomal RNA". It matches the Rfam family "Bacterial small subunit ribosomal RNA", at positions 328 to 539 of the family's 1533-position model. The record is from RNAcentral.
ACGCUCGACACCUACGAGAGGCAGCAGUGGGGAAUAUUGCACAAUGGAGGAAACUCUGAUGCAGCGACGCCGCGUGAGCGAAGAAGUAUUUCGGUAUGUAAAGCUCUAUCAGCAGGGAAGAAAAAGGACGGUACCUGACUAAGAAGCUCCGGCUAAAUACGUGCCAGCAGCUGCGGUAAUCUGAGCGGGCUGGCAAGGC